This 465-nucleotide ribosomal RNA is filed under the name uncultured bacterium. Its description in RNAcentral is "bacterial SSU rRNA". It matches the Rfam family "Bacterial small subunit ribosomal RNA", at positions 338 to 795 of the family's 1533-position model. The record is from RNAcentral.
CCUACGGGUGGCAGCAGUGGGGAAUAUUGCACAAUGGGCGCAAGCCUGAUGCAGCCAUGCCGCGUGUGUGAAGAAGGCCUUCGGGUUGUAAAGCACUUUCAGCGGGGAGGAAGGCGAUAAGGUUAAUAACCUUAUCGAUUGACGUUACCCGCAGAAGAAGCACCGGCUAACUCCGUGCCAGCAGCCGCGGUAAUACGGAGGGUGCAAGCGUUAAUCGGAAUUACUGGGCGUAAAGCGCACGCAGGCGGUCUGUCAAGUCGGAUGUGAAAUCCCCGGGCUUAACCUGGGAACUGCAUUCGAAACUGGCAGGCUAGAGUCUUGUAGAGGGGGGUAGAAUUCCAGGUGUAGCGGUGAAAUGCGUAGAAAUCUGGAGGAAUACCGGUGGCGAAGGCGGCCCCCUGGACAAAGGCUGACGCUCAGGUGCGAAAGCGUGGGGAGCAAACAGGAUUAGAUACCCGUGUAGUC